GUUCUGUCAAGGGCAAAUGCCGUGUAGCUAUGUUCGGUGCGGAUAAGCGCUGAAGGCAUCUAAGCGCGAAGCCCAUUCCAAGAUUAGGCAUCCCCUCUGACUUCGGUCAGAGAUAAGGCAUCUCGGAGACUACGAGGUUGAUAGGCCCCAGGUGUAAGGCCAGCGAUGGUUUUAGCCGAGGGGUACUAAUAUGCCGAAUGGCUUGACCGC
This 210-nucleotide ribosomal RNA is filed under the name Candidatus Kaelpia imicola. RNAcentral's name for it is "partial 23S ribosomal RNA". It matches the Rfam family "Bacterial large subunit ribosomal RNA", at positions 2723 to 2925 of the family's 2925-position model. The record is from RNAcentral. Lineage: Bacteria; Pseudomonadati; Candidatus Omnitrophota.